Trichonephila clavata is the source of this 73-nucleotide non-coding RNA. The record is from the annotation of a GenBank genome assembly. Lineage: Eukaryota; Metazoa; Arthropoda; Arachnida; Araneae; Nephilidae.
GUCCCUGUAGCGCAAUGGAUAGCGCAUUGGACUUCUAAUCCAAAGGUCGCGCGUUCGAAUCCCACAUGGGAUA